AGAGUAUUGGCGCUGGGCAAAA
RNAcentral lists this microRNA (22 nucleotides) under Nematostella vectensis (starlet sea anemone). RNAcentral's name for it is "nve-miR-2024e-5p". The record is from miRBase by way of RNAcentral. Lineage: Eukaryota; Metazoa; Cnidaria; Anthozoa; Actiniaria; Edwardsiidae.